Molecule: unclassified non-coding RNA, 846 nt
Filed under: Leptinotarsa decemlineata (Colorado potato beetle)
Lineage: Eukaryota; Metazoa; Arthropoda; Insecta; Coleoptera; Chrysomelidae
Description: uncharacterized LOC111518011, transcript variant X1
Source: RNAcentral
UUUUAUCAUUAAAUAAACAUAGGUAUAAAGUACCUUGCUCGUUACAGAACAAUACAGUGUUCACUGUAAUUGUGUUCAAGUAGUACACAGUGCAAACUGAGUGAUUCGAAUGAGUCUUUGUGUAUAUUAUGGGUUAAAAAAAUUGCUGGUGCAUCGAGAUCCGAAAGUGCCGAAACGUCUUGAGAGUUCCUUUGUCGCAAGAUGUAAAUAGCUCAUAUUGUUUUCACCUCAACGGCAGAAUCGAAGUCCAAACUAUCAUAUCAACAACCACACUACUAUCUUCCAUCUCGUACAUCUGUUAUCACCCUUAUCUUAUCGAGCGAGUGGCAACUAUAACCAAUAGCAGAUCCUAAAAAUUAUGACGAAAUACUCCAGACUCCAGAAUAAUGGGUUUUGAACUGCUUCUUCUCUGUUGCCUCAUUUUCAUGUUCGUCGUCUCCUUCUGCGGAUUAUUACAAAAGAUCAAACAAUCAUACGAGCACGAAAGAGCAGUUGCAGAUGCGGACCCUCCUCCAAAAUAUGAAGACGUCAUCAAGAGUCAAGUCGAAGUAACCAUCAACAGAGUCCCUUUAAUGGUCAGAGAACCACCAUCAGCCCCUUCCAAUAUGGCCCCGCCUCCUUAUACAAUUACCGUUUGAGAAAUCCAAAGAAAAAUCUUCAUUAGUUAUUUUGAGAUUCAUCACUGCUCAUUUGAAGCAAAAUAUAAUACUGAAAUGUGAAAAAUAUUGAGAGUAUUCGUUUUCAUUUUCGAAAUCAAAGCGUAUAUCUACUCAAUACGAAUCUCAGAAAUAUUUCAUUUUCAAUACUUAGUUUGCUAAAUGGAGAAAGAUUUAUUUCCAACAUUGA